This 126-nucleotide small RNA is filed under the name Marmota monax (woodchuck). The record is from RNAcentral. Lineage: Eukaryota; Metazoa; Chordata; Mammalia; Rodentia; Sciuridae.
GCCGGGCCCAGUGGCGCAUGCCUGUAAUCCCAGCGGCUCAGGAGGCUGAGGCAGGAGGAUCCUGAGUUCAAAACCAACCUCAGCAAUUCAGCAGGGCCUUAAGCAACUCAGUGAGACCUGUCUCUA